RNAcentral lists this ribosomal RNA (429 nucleotides) under Actinomycetes bacterium. RNAcentral's name for it is "Actinobacteria bacterium partial 16S ribosomal RNA". It matches the Rfam family "Bacterial small subunit ribosomal RNA", at positions 355 to 776 of the family's 1533-position model. The record is from RNAcentral. Lineage: Bacteria; Bacillati; Actinomycetota; Actinomycetes.
UAGGGAAUCUUCCGCAAUGGGCGAAAGCCUGACGGAGCAACGCCGCGUGAGUGAUGAAGGUCUUCGGAUCGUAAAACUCUGUUAUCAGGGAAGAACAAAUGUGUAAGUAACUAUGCACGUCUUGACUGUACCUAAUCAGAAAGCCACGGCUAACUACGUGCCAGCAGCCGCGGUAAUACGUAGGUGGCAAGCGUUAUCCGGAAUUAUUGGUCGUAAAGCGCGCGUAGGCGGUUUUUUAAGUCUGAUGUGAAAGCCCACGGCUCAACCGUGGAGGGUCAUUGGAAACUGGAAAACUUGAGUGCAGAAGAGGAAAGUGGAAUUCCAUGUGUAGCGGUGAAAUGCGCAGGGAUAUGGAGGAACACCAGUGGCGAAGGCGACUUUCUGGUCUGUAACUGACGCUGAUGUGCGAAAGCGUGGGGAUCAAACCGG